CCUAAGGUAGCGAAAUUCCUUGUCGGGUAAGUUCCGACCUGCACGAAUGGCGUAAUGAUGGCCAGGCUGUCUCCACCCGAGACUCAGUGAAAUUGAACUCGCUGUGAAGAUGCAGUGUACCCGCGGCAAGACGGAAAGACCCCGUGAACCUUUACUACAGCUUGACACUGAACAUUGAGCCUUGAUGUGUAGGAUAGGUGGGAGGCUUUGAAGCGCGGACGCCAGUCUGCGUGGAGCCAACCUUGAAAUACCACCCUUUAAUGUUUGAUGUUCUAACGUAGGCCCGUUACCCGGGCUGCGGACAGUGUCUGGUGGGUAGUUUGACUGGGGCGGUCUCCUCCUAAAGAGUAACGGAGGAGCACGAAGGUCAGCUAAUCACGGUCGGACAUCGUGAGGUUAGUGCAAUGGCAUAAGCUGGCUUGACUGCGAGAGUGACGGCUCGAGCAGGUGCGAAAGCAGGUCAUAGUGAUCCGGUGGUUCUGAAUGGAAGGGCCAUCGCUCAACGGAUAAAAGGUACUCCGGGGAUAACAGGCUGAUACCGCCCAAGAGUUCAUAUCGACGGCGGUGUUUGGCACCUCGAUGUCGGCUCAUCACAUCCUGGGGCUGAAGUAGGUCCCAAGGGUACGGCUGUUCGCCGUUUAAAGUGGUACGCGAGCUGGGUUUAGAACGUCGUGAGACAGUUCGGUCCCUAUCUGCCGUGGGCGCUGGAGAAUUGAGGGGGGUUGCUCCUAGUACGAGAGGACCGGAGUGAACGCACCACUGGUGUUCGGGUUGUCAUGCCAAUGGCAUUGCCCGGUAGCUAAGUGCGGAAAAGAUAAGUGCUGAAAGCAUCUAAGCACGAAACUUGCCCCGAGAUGAGUUCUCCCUGACCCCUUGAGGGUCCUGAAGGGACGUUGAAGACUACGACGUUGAUAGGCCGGGUGUGUAAGCGCAGCGAUGCGUUGAGCUAACCGGUACUAAUGACCCGUGAGGCUUAACCUUACAACGCCAGAGGCGUUU
Molecule: ribosomal RNA, 999 nt
Filed under: Mesorhizobium sp.
Lineage: Bacteria; Pseudomonadati; Pseudomonadota; Alphaproteobacteria; Hyphomicrobiales; Phyllobacteriaceae
Description: partial 23S ribosomal RNA
Rfam family: Bacterial large subunit ribosomal RNA
Source: RNAcentral